This is a long non-coding RNA of Xenia sp. Carnegie-2017, 1139 nucleotides long. RefSeq lists it as uncharacterized. The record is from RefSeq and is a predicted model, not a curated record. Lineage: Eukaryota; Metazoa; Cnidaria; Anthozoa; Malacalcyonacea; Xeniidae. The transcript has 2 exons.
AUACGAGUGACAUACGAGUACAUACGAGUAACAUACGAGUAACAUACAAGGGGAAACAUUACAUCCCGGGCGGAGAGAGAGGGUGCGUCUGCGAUGCAUUAUGGUCAGUGUAGUGGAUAAAAUGGUAUUAUUCAACUACUCCCAUUUAUCCCAAUGAUUUAUAUUCAGUGAACUGUAAUAACAACAAUGUUGUAAUUACAGUUCACUGUUUAUAAUUGAAAAUGAUAAAAGAUAAGAUUAGAGGGUCAGCAAAAAACGAUGUACAUGUUGUAUGAGUUCAUGCUACGUAAUUGAUCGCUGAAUACGAAAACUUUUUUCUGCACUCGUCAAAAGCAGAGUGUAUAAUGCAAAAGGUUUGUAAGCAGAAUACAGGAAAUGGAUAGGACGUUAUGACAAAGUUGUGCUAAGCUUUAAGUGCUACCUAUUCAAGUUUACUUCUUCUAAAUCCAGCACAAUCAUUGAAGCACUUAUGACUGUUUGCCUGUUUCCUUGGAAACUUAUUUAAUGUAAAGAUGAUAAAUGUACACAUUUGUAUGAUAUCAAUGCCAAUAAUUUUAGCAUGGACAAACAAAAUAGUUGGAGAGGGCAGCAGAAAAGUCUAAAUUUAAACAGCUCGAAUGGAAAAACUGAAAGCAUUUGUCGCAUCCAAGCCAGUCUUCACCAUCAUUAUCUUUGCAGAUUUUGCAAACACCAGUAUUUCGUCUACAGCAAAACAAAGAAAUGAAUUUAAAAUGAAUUUAAGUUUCUCAUCCACUGUAUAAUGCUUUAAAGACUUUGGUUAAAACAUACUCAUGAAUAUCAUCAUAGCAAGAGCCAAAUAUGAGUGAUAUUAGUUUCUCUCUCUCUAAUUCCAUUUUAAAAUUUCUGUUUAGGCUUGAAUUUUCACAAAUACACCUUGCAAACUGUGAAAAGGAAAUUGUUAAAAUUAAUGUACAGGAAUAACCAUAUAUAUAUAAUUAUAUAUAUUUAUAUGCAUUGUGAUUUGUAGGCAUGGUUUGCAUUUUGUAGAAAUCUAGUGCCAUAACUACAAGAAAUGAGCAAUGUAUAAAUUAAUAGAAUGGAUUGUAAAAUCUCUGUGGGAGUGCUCACUUACAAGGCAAAUGAGUACACCACAAUUAAAGCUGUCCUGCUGUGAGAAA